CUUGGCUAAAUUAUGAACCAUAUCCUUCACUCCUUAAUUUAAGGACUAAAACUAUAUAUAUAAAACAAAAUAGAAACAAGAAGCUGCUUUACUACAAAAAGGUACAUCUCAAAGGCUUUUUCCAUGGGGGCAUAUAUGAGUUAGUUCGAUCUUGUUGCUUUAAAAUUUAAACUAUAACAAUCACCAAUAAUCUCGUCGAAAUCGCCAUAAAUGUCUCUCGAGUUCAACAAUAGAACAAAUCUGAUCCUAUUUCCUUCUGCUCUUGGCAGUAGGGGCAAUUAUUCCUCUUUUCUCCAAGCUCUUAUACCUGUCCCUCACAAGGGUGCAACAGCCCUUCAGCUUACGAAACGAUCCAGUUAUCUCCUCAGAUAGGAGAACUUGAACCGGCGCAGGCUCAAACUUGUGCUUCCCCAAGCGUGGCGGGCAUGACUUUAAUCUCUCCUGUUUGGCUAUUGUUCGCCGGAUACGUCUAUUUUCUCUCUCCUCGUCCUCUUUGGCUAUUUCGUGAAUGAUAUCCGGCAAGCUGUCAAUCUCUUUAGAAAUUCCUUCCAACUUCUUUGCUUCGGCUUCCUUUCUGACCUUUUCUUUAUGCCUAGCUCUCUUAUUCAACUCCACUCGAGUCACCCUUCUCAUCUUCAAAGGCCUUUUUUCUAAUUCAUUAUCUUCAUCCUGACCCAUUUCGUCCAAAUUGGCUUCAUCAUCAGUGUUAUUAUCAGCAUCCAAAAACAACAUAUCUUCUUCACAAAUAACUUCUCCUGGGACUGUUAAUGGAACUGGUGCAGGCCCCAGUUCAUUACGAUAUACUUUCUGCAUUUCUUGUGCAACAGCUUGGGCAAGUACAUCCUGAUGACUCUCAUGUGAUGGAUUGAACGAACAUCCAGG
Molecule: unclassified non-coding RNA, 882 nt
Filed under: Hevea brasiliensis (rubber tree)
Lineage: Eukaryota; Viridiplantae; Streptophyta; Magnoliopsida; Malpighiales; Euphorbiaceae
Source: RNAcentral